Molecule: long non-coding RNA, 857 nt
Filed under: Homo sapiens (human)
Lineage: Eukaryota; Metazoa; Chordata; Mammalia; Primates; Hominidae
Description: HSALNT0109396
Source: RNAcentral
UGUUCUUUUGCCUCCCCAUUGUGCUGGCUGUCCCUGGUGACAGACUGCAGCCCAGCCAUAGCCUGGGGGAGGGAGUGGGUUGCAGCAGAUGUGCACAUCUGGAUCACCUGCCCCUAACCCAGCACACUCCAACUUCUCCAUGGCUUUGGCUUCCACAGGACAUUUCUCGGGGUGGCCUCCUCUCUGAGGGCAAUGGAAGGCUCCAGAAGGUUUUAAGGAGUGGAAUGAUAUGACUCGAUUUAUAGUUUAAGAUUCCUAUUGCUGCUGUGUGGAGAACAUAUUGGAGGAUGAGGAAUGUGGAAGCCCCAAAACCAGUUAGGACCUACUGUAGUAGUUCAGGGACAUGGAUGGAGCUGGAGGCCAUUAUCCCUUGCAAACUAACACAGGAACAGAAAACCAAAUACUGCCUGUUCUCACUUAUAAGUGAUAGCUAAAUGAUAAGAAUAUAUGGAAACAUAGAGGAGAACAAUACACACUGGGGCCUAUCGGAAGGUGGAGGGUGGGAGGAGGGAGAGAAUUUAAAAAAAAUAAUGAAUGAACACUAGGCUUAAUACCUGGGUGAUGAAAUAAUCUGUACAAUAAGCCCCCAAGACAUAAUUUUACCUACAUAACAAACCUGUACACAUACCCCUGAACUUAAAAUAAAAGUUUAAAACAAUUUUUUUAAAAAUUAGGUCUCCAUUCCUAAGCCUUGUAAUGAGUUUUAUGAGUUUCUUCCAACAACAACAAAAAAAGUGAAUUGUACAUCAUAGAUGCAUCAGGUAGCCAGGCCAGGUUCCACUCCCUCAUGUGAGACUUCUUUUGGCAUACCAUCCUGGGUCAGCCAAUUGAGUUCCCAGUGAGUCACAAUCUUCUAG